AACGAACGCUGGCGGCAUGCCUAACACAUGCAAGUCGAACGAGACCUUCGGGUCUAGUGGCGCACGGGUGCGUCACGCGUGGGAACCUGCCCUUAGGUUCGGAAUAACUCCCCGACAGGGGUGCUAAUACCGGAUAAUGUCUUCGGACCAAAGAUUUAUCGCCUUUGGAUGGGCCCGCGUUGGAUUAGCUAGUUGGUAGGGUAAAAGCCUACCAAGGCGACGCUCCAUAGCUGGUCUGAGAGGAUGAUCAGCCACACUGGGACUGAGACACGGCCCAGACUCCUACGGGAGGCAGCAGUGGGGAAUAUUGGACAAUGGGCGAAAGCCUGAUCCAGCAAUGCCGCGUGAGUGAUGAAGGCCUUAGGGUUGUAAAGCUCUUUUACCCGGGAUGAUAAUGACAGUACCGGGAGAAUAAGCUCCGGCUAACUCCGUG
RNAcentral lists this ribosomal RNA (433 nucleotides) under uncultured bacterium. Its description in RNAcentral is "partial 16S ribosomal RNA". It matches the Rfam family "Bacterial small subunit ribosomal RNA", at positions 29 to 507 of the family's 1533-position model. The record is from RNAcentral.